GACGUAGGGAGCGAGCGUUGUCCGGAUUCAUUGGGCGUAAAGAGCGCGCAGGCGGUUUGGUAAGUCGGAUGUGAAAUCCCGGAGCUCAACUCCGGACCUGCAUCCGAAACUGCCCGACUAGAGGUAGGUAGGGGAGAUCGGAAUUCCUGGUGUAGCGGUGAAAUGCGCAGAUAUCAGGAGGAACACCGGUGGCGAAGGCGGAUCUCUGGGCCUUACCUGACGCUCAGGAGCGAAAGCUAGGGGAGCGAACAGG
This 253-nucleotide ribosomal RNA is filed under the name uncultured bacterium. RNAcentral describes it as "partial 16S ribosomal RNA". It matches the Rfam family "Bacterial small subunit ribosomal RNA", at positions 524 to 776 of the family's 1533-position model. The record is from RNAcentral.